Molecule: ribosomal RNA, 432 nt
Filed under: uncultured bacterium
Lineage: Bacteria
Description: partial 16S ribosomal RNA
Rfam family: Bacterial small subunit ribosomal RNA
Source: RNAcentral
AACGAACGCUGGCGGCAUGCCUAACACAUGCAAGUCGAACGACGGCUUCGGAAUUAGUGGCGCACGGGUGCGUAACGCGUGGGAAUCUGCCCUUGGGUUCGGAAUAACGUCUGGAAACUGACGCUAAUACAGGGAGAUGACGUAAGACAAAAGAUUGAUCGCCCAAGGGUGAGCACGCGUCCGAUUAGCCAGUUGGUGAGGUAAAAGCUCACCAAGGCGAAGAUACGUAGCUGGUCUGAGAGGAUGAUCAGCAACACUGGGGCUGGGACACGGCCGGGAUUCUUACGGAAGGCAGCAGUGGUGAAUAUUGGACACCGGGCGAAUGCCGAAGCCAUCAGGGCCGCGUGAGUGAUUAAGUCCGUAGGGUAGUAAAGCUCUUUUUCCCGGGAUGUUAAGAACCGUACCGAGAGAAUAAGCCCCGCCUAACUCCGU